GCCCUGGUGAUUCAGUGGCAGAAUUCUCGCCUUCCAUUCCGGAGACCUGGGUUUGACUCCCAGUGAGCGCA
Molecule: transfer RNA, 71 nt
Filed under: Loxodonta africana (African savanna elephant)
Lineage: Eukaryota; Metazoa; Chordata; Mammalia; Proboscidea; Elephantidae
Rfam family: tRNA
About the family: Transfer RNA (tRNA) molecules are approximately 80 nucleotides in length. Their secondary structure includes four short double-helical elements and three loops (D, anti-codon, and T loops). Further hydrogen bonds mediate the characteristic L-shaped molecular structure. tRNAs have two regions of fundamental functional importance: the anti-codon, which is responsible for specific mRNA codon recognition, and the 3' end, to which the tRNAs corresponding amino acid is attached (by aminoacyl-tRNA synthetases). tRNAs cope with the degeneracy of the genetic code in two manners: having more than one tRNA (with a specific anti-codon) for a particular amino acid; and 'wobble' base-pairing, i.e. permitting non-standard base-pairing at the 3rd anti-codon position.
Source: Rfam by way of RNAcentral